This 253-nucleotide ribosomal RNA is filed under the name uncultured bacterium. RNAcentral's name for it is "partial 16S ribosomal RNA". It matches the Rfam family "Bacterial small subunit ribosomal RNA", at positions 524 to 776 of the family's 1533-position model. The record is from RNAcentral.
UACGGAGGGUGCAAGCGUUAUCCGGAUUCACUGGGUUUAAAGGGUGCGUAGGUGGGCUAGUAAGUCCGUGGUGAAAUCUCCAAGCUUAACUUGGAAACUGCCGUGGAUACUAUUAGUCUUGAAUGUUGUGGAGGUAAGCGGAAUAUGUCAUGUAGCGGUGAAAUGCUUAGAUAUGACAUAGAACACCGAUAGCGGAGGCAGCUUGCUACACAAUGAUUGACACUGAGGCACGAAAGCGUGGGGACCAAACAGG